RNAcentral lists this ribosomal RNA (811 nucleotides) under uncultured Flavobacteriaceae bacterium. RNAcentral describes it as "bacterial SSU rRNA". It matches the Rfam family "Bacterial small subunit ribosomal RNA", at positions 75 to 887 of the family's 1533-position model. The record is from RNAcentral. Lineage: Bacteria; Pseudomonadati; Bacteroidota; Flavobacteriia; Flavobacteriales; Flavobacteriaceae.
AGUGCUUGCACUUCGCUGACGACCGGCGAACGGGUGAGUAUCGCGUAUACAAUCUGCCUCAUACUAGGGAAUAGCCCGAAGAAAUUUGGAUUAAUACCCUAUAGUAUCUUUAUAAGGCAUCUUAUUAAGAUUAAAGGUUACGGUAUGAGAUGAGUAUGCGUUCUAUUAGCUAGUAGGUGUGGUAACGGCACACCUAGGCUACGAUAGAUAGGGGCCCUGAGAGGGGGAUCCCCCACACUGGUACUGAGACACGGACCAGACUCCUACGGGAGGCAGCAGUAAGGAAUAUUGGUCAAUGGACGAAAGUCUGAACCAGCCAUGCCGCGUGCAGGAUGACUGCCCUAUGGGUUGUAAACUGCUUUUAUAUAGGAAGAAAAACUUUCUCGUGAGAAAGCUUGACGGUACUAUAAGAAUAAGGAUCGGCUAACUCCGUGCCAGCAGCCGCGGUAAUACGGAGGAUCCAAGCGUUAUCCGGAAUCAUUGGGUUUAAAGGGUCCGUAGGUGGACAGAUAAGUCAGAGGUGAAAUCCUGCAGCUCAACUGUAGAACUGCCUUUGAUACUGUUUGUCUUGAGUUAUUAUGAAGUGGUUAGAAUGUGUAGUGUAGCGGUGAAAUGCAUAGAUAUUACACAGAAUACCGAUUGCGAAGGCAGAUCACUAAUAAUUAACUGACACUGAGGGACGAAAGCGUGGGUAGCGAACAGGAUUAGAUACCCUGGUAGUCCACGCCGUAAACGAUGGUCACUAGCUGUUUGGACUUCGGUCUGAGUGGCUAAGCGAAAGUGAUAAGUGACCCACCUGGGGAGUACGUCG